UGAGGUGUCAGGUCGCAUUGAGGCCAUUGA
This 30-nucleotide non-coding RNA is filed under the name Homo sapiens (human). Lineage: Eukaryota; Metazoa; Chordata; Mammalia; Primates; Hominidae. The record is from RNAcentral.